GGAGGUCUUAGCUUAAUUAAAGUGUUUGAGUUGCAAUCAGAAGAUGUAGUUGUUUUACAGGCCUU
This 65-nucleotide transfer RNA is filed under the name Cyrtodactylus chanhomeae. RNAcentral's name for it is "tRNA-Ala". The record is from RNAcentral. Lineage: Eukaryota; Metazoa; Chordata; Lepidosauria; Squamata; Gekkonidae.